GCGAAAGUGGCGGAACCUGGUAGACGCGCUGGAUUUAGGAUCCAGUCCCUCAAGGGGUGGGGGUUCAAAUCCCCCCUUUCGCA
This 83-nucleotide transfer RNA is filed under the name Candidatus Zixiibacteriota bacterium. RNAcentral's name for it is "candidate division Zixibacteria bacterium tRNA-Leu". It matches the Rfam family "tRNA". Rfam says of the family: Transfer RNA (tRNA) molecules are approximately 80 nucleotides in length. Lineage: Bacteria; Pseudomonadati; Candidatus Zixiibacteriota. The record is from RNAcentral. RNAcentral also lists the same sequence under 1 other name.